CACCAAAACCUUCUUCACCCGAAAAUUAUGAAUGACUGCUUCAAUGACAAGCGCGUCAUCAUGGGGCAUCUGAAUGCCCUGUGCAUCCUCCGAAGAGAAAGCGAUGGUCAUGGGAGAGUGUUCAACGAUCUGCAUAACCUCGCCAUUGCUGGUCUCCCCUUCCCGGUUUCUCUUCUUUCCUCGACGGUUCAUCCGUCCUCCAGUUCCUCCAACAAUCAUAUUAAUAGUCCCACUGGACCCAUCAUUCACUGGUCCAGCUCCAGUUCUCCUGGGCAUCUGGGCUGCCGGACCGGGUUGAGGCCUCUGCCCCUCCGGUUUCUUCACAAAAUUUUUGAGAUGCCCCCUUUUUAUCAAUCUUUCAAUUUCCGCGAUUAACUGAAAACAGUUAUUUGUAUCGUGGCCAUGCGUCCGGUGGUACUGACAAUACUUGUCAGGAUUCCUCUAAUCUGCUUCUGACUUCAAAGGUUUGGGCCACUGGAGAAACUCCUUAUCCUGGACAGCCAUGAGCACCUCGGCUCUGGACGCAUUUAAUGGAGUCGGUUUCUCCGGGACCCAAGGAGGGAGCACUCUUGGUUCAUGAGCCCUGGGAGGAGGGGGAGGCCUUUGAUCCCUUCUUUCCCAGGCCUGCUUGUAUGGCUCAGGCCUCUUUCCAUGCUUCUUCUCGUGUUU
RNAcentral lists this long non-coding RNA (669 nucleotides) under Manihot esculenta (cassava). Its description in RNAcentral is "long non-coding RNA (MESC_LNC003615)". Lineage: Eukaryota; Viridiplantae; Streptophyta; Magnoliopsida; Malpighiales; Euphorbiaceae. The record is from RNAcentral.